AAAAAUAAGAAGAAGAAGGAAAAGGAAUGGAAGGAGAAGAAAGAAGAAGAAGAAGAAUAAGAAAAAUAGGAGAGGAAGAGAAGAAUAGGAGGAAAAAAGAAAAUAAUAAUAAUAAUAAUAAGAAGAAGAAGAAGAGAAGUAGAAAACAGAGAAGAAGAAUAUGAGGAAAAAGAAAAAAGAAAAUCAGAAGAAGAAGAAGAAGAAGAAGAAUAAGAAGAAGAAGAAGAAGAAGACAAGAAGAAAAGAAGAAGAAGGAGA
Molecule: long non-coding RNA, 258 nt
Filed under: Hordeum vulgare
Lineage: Eukaryota; Viridiplantae; Streptophyta; Magnoliopsida; Poales; Poaceae
Description: long non-coding RNA (HVUL_LNC001187)
Source: RNAcentral